AAAUUGAAGAGUUUGAUCAUGGCUCAGAUUGAACGCUGGCGGCAGGCCUAACACAUGCAAGUCGAGCGGAAACGAGUUAUCUGAACCUUCGGGGAACGAUAACGGCGUCGAGCGGCGGACGGGUGAGUAAUGCCUAGGAAAUUGCCCUGAUGUGGGGGAUAACCAUUGGAAACGAUGGCUAAUACCGCAUGAUGCCUACGGGCCAAAGAGGGGGACCUUCGGGCCUCUCGCGUCAGGAUAUGCCUAGGUGGGAUUAGCUAGUUGGUGAGGUAAGGGCUCACCAAGGCGACGAUCCCUAGCUGGUCUGAGAGGAUGAUCAGCCACACUGGAACUGAGACACGGUCCAGACUCCUACGGGAGGCAGCAGUGGGGAAUAUUGCACAAUGGGCGCAAGCCUGAUGCAGCCAUGCCGCGUGUAUGAAGAAGGCCUUCGGGUUGUAAAGUACUUUCAGUCGUGAGGAAGG
Molecule: ribosomal RNA, 464 nt
Filed under: Vibrio parahaemolyticus
Lineage: Bacteria; Pseudomonadati; Pseudomonadota; Gammaproteobacteria; Vibrionales; Vibrionaceae
Description: bacterial SSU rRNA
Rfam family: Bacterial small subunit ribosomal RNA
Source: RNAcentral